RNAcentral lists this ribosomal RNA (488 nucleotides) under uncultured bacterium. RNAcentral's name for it is "partial 16S ribosomal RNA". It matches the Rfam family "Bacterial small subunit ribosomal RNA", at positions 28 to 507 of the family's 1533-position model. The record is from RNAcentral.
GACGAACGCUGGCGGCGUGCUUAACACAUGCAAGUCGAACGCGCCUGUCCUCUGGGUUUCUGGGGGGUGGGUGAGUGGCGAACGGGUGAGUAACACGUGAGUAACCUGCCCCCUUCUUCGGGAUAACGGUCUGAAAGGGCUGCUAAUACCGGGUAUUCACUGGUCUCCGCAUGGGGUCUGGUGGAAAGGUUUUUUUCUGGUGGGGGAUGGGCUCGCGGCCUAUCAGCUUGUUGGUGGGGUGAUGGCCCACCAAGGCUUUGACGGGUAGCCGGCCUGAGAGGGUGACCGGUCACAUUGGGACUGAGAUCCGGCCCAGACUCCUACGGGAGGCAGCAGUGGGGAAUAUUGCACAAUGGGCGCAAGCCUGAUGCAGCGACGCCGCGUGAGGGAUGGAGGCCUUCGGGUUGUGAACCUCUUUCGCCCGUGGUCAAGCCGCGACGUGGGUCGUGGUGAGGGUAGUGGGUAAAGAAGCGCCGGCUAACUACGUG